Phragmites australis (common reed) is the source of this 2731-nucleotide RNA transcript. It is a transcript of the gene named phosphatidylinositol 4-phosphate 5-kinase 2-like, with no coding region annotated. The record is from RefSeq and is a predicted model, not a curated record. NCBI's taxonomy places the organism in Eukaryota, Viridiplantae, Streptophyta, Magnoliopsida, Poales, Poaceae. The transcript is spliced from 9 exons.
UCCAGCUCCUCAACCGCUAGUCGAGCCCUCCUGACAUCGCGUCGCGUGCCAAAGCUGACGCCGCACAAAAGCAACUGAAAGCCAAAGCAAAGCGGCCACCACCUCCCCUCCCCUCCCCUCCCUUCCCUCCUCCCGUCACGCCGAAGCCAAGCGCAAACAGCCAUUGCUGAUUCCUCUCUCGUCUCGUCUCAUCCCCUUCUCUAAAAUGAGAAAUCUAGUAGUCUAGUACUACUAUAGAAGUCACUCGCGCACCCAACCACCACCCACCCGUGCUCGAGAGGCACCCACGGAGCCCAUGCCGCCGCGCGCCGCGGUCGCCUCGCAGCAGGGCGACUGCUGCAGCCACGGGCCGGGCCCCCACCGGCGCGGCAGCGGCGAACUCUCCGGCGAAGCGUCAUGCAGCUACCUGCCGUUGCGCAAGCGGCUGUCGGUGGACGGCAAGUGCCCGGCGCCGAGGAUAUGCAUCUGGGAGUGCGACGGCGAGGCUGGGGACAUCACCUGCGACAUCGUCGCCGCGCCGCUCCGCCGCAGCUGCAGCGCGAGGGCAAUGCCGUGGGCGCCGCCGCCGGCACCGCCCUUCCGCCGGAUGAUGACGCCGCCGCCGCCGCGGCCGAGGCAGCCGCAGAGGGAGGCAGGGGAGGUGGCGGCCAGGAGGCCCGGGGAGACCAUCUGCAAGGGACACCGGAGCUACAGCCUCAUGCUUAACCUGCAGCUUGGCAUAAGCUAUUCGGUGGGGAAGUCGUCGUCGCUGCCAUUCAGGAAGCUCUCGUCGUCGGACUUCGACCCGCGGGAGAAAGUGUGGACGCGGUUCCCGCCGGAGGGGUCCAAGCUCACGCCGCCUCAUCACUCCGUUGAUUUCCGGUGGAAGGACUACUGCCCCGCUGUAUUCAGACACCUGAGGAAGCUGUUCGGGGUGGAUCCUGCGGACUACAUGCUCGCCAUCUGCGGGAACGACACGCUCCGGGAGCUGGCGUCCCCGGGCAAGAGCGGCAGCUGCUUCUUCGUUACGCAGGAUGAUCGAUUCAUGAUUAAGACCGUGAAGAAGGCCGAAGUGAAGGUUCUAAUUAGGAUGCUGCGGAGUUACUAUGAGCAUGUUUAUCGAUACAAGUCCACUUUAUUGACAAGGUUUUAUGGCACACACUGCAUUAAGCAAGCUGGCUGCCUCAAGGUCCGGUUCAUUAUAAUGGGCAACUUUUGCUGCUCAGAUUAUAAGAUCCAUAGGCGCUUUGAUUUGAAAGGUUCCUCACAUGGUCGGACUAUUGACAAAGCCGAACAGAAGAUUGAUGAAACCACUACUCUAAAGGACCUUGACCUUGAUUAUGCAUUCCACUUGCAGAGAUUUUGGUAUGAGGAACUGAUGAAGCAAAUUCAGAUGGACUGCACAUUCUUAGAGGCACAAGGAAUUAUGGACUACAGCUUGUUGUUAGGAGUUCACUUCCGUAAUGAUUUCUCAAUGUCUAAGAUAGGCGUAUCUCAGUAUAUUGGUUUUCCAAAAUCCACCGGCAAAAGAAAAUCAUUUGAAGGUGGAGAUGAUGUUUGUGAGCUUUGCUUUAUGGAAUCUGGAUGCAAGGACAGAGAUUUGAUCAUCGACUCUCGGAAACCAUUGGCCCAGUUAGGUAUGAACAUGCCCGCCCAGGCAGAACGCAGGUCAAAGAAAAUACUCGACAAGUGUCUCCUAAAUGAAAGACACUUGUUCAUAACCAUGCCAAGUGGAGGAUCGCGGGAUGUCUACCUCUUCUUUGGAAUAAUUGACAUUCUUCAAGACUAUGACAUAACUAAGAAACUUGAGCAUGCUUACAAGUCCUUCCAGGUCAACCCUGGCCGCAUUUCUGCUGUAGACCCAAAGCUAUACUCAAGAAGGUUCCAGAACUUUAUUCGCAGAGUGUUCAUCCAAGAACAGUAAGAAAAUUGUAUAGGGUUAACUGGUGACUAUUCCACUGACUUUUUACAUCAUGGGAUCCAUUGGUGAAGUCUUGACUCUUGAGCAUGAUCGUAUGAUCCCGAGCGUGCCCGGAAACAGUGGAAAUGAUGGUUGGCAGUUUUCUGAAUAGUUGGCGUCAAGAGGCUCUGCCGACACGCAUGCUAAUGUUGAAAAGAUGUGAGCUAAACUAGAGUACCGCCUUUUCGAAGACUUAAAAAUCAUUUGCAGUUCAUCUUUUGCUUGCGCCUGCUCUGACCACAAUGGAGAGUUGGAGACUGGAUCACUGGAGAGAGGCAGUGCCACUUGCACUACCACCGUUGGCUCGUCGAACUGAAGAAAGAUAAAGUGGAGAAGUGGAAGGGAGGAGACAGGCAUCAAAAGGAGAGAAAGCAACUGCAGGGAGAUGCUGAGACAGAUCUGGUCUGCUUCUGUGACUUAUGUUAAGUGAUGCAUUUUUUUUUCUUCUGUCCUCGCUGUUGCAUGGCCUUUCCUCGACUUUGCUUUGUCCUACGCCAAGGCCUAGUCCAUUUCUUCUUCUCCCUCCUGUGCUCUUUUGUCAUGCUCUGCUUUGCUUGGAUCUACUAUAUGACCGGGCCAGCCUUCGGCAUGACUGGGGGAGCAGACCAGAUGGUCAGAACUUAUUUCUGCAGGUCAGGAUGAUGCAUGGUUCCUCAGUUAAUUUUACUAAAAAUACUGGAGUACAACCUAGGCCUGUGUUGCCGUAUGGUUCCUCUGUUAAUUUUACUGUGCCUGUGUUGUAUGUUUGAUAAGGGGCAUAUCAUGUGAAAGUGCUUUUGAAAGUUGAAAAUU